This 373-nucleotide ribosomal RNA is filed under the name uncultured bacterium. RNAcentral describes it as "bacterial SSU rRNA". It matches the Rfam family "Bacterial small subunit ribosomal RNA", at positions 527 to 898 of the family's 1533-position model. The record is from RNAcentral.
GUAGGGGGCAAGCGUUGUCCGGAUUUAUUGGGCGUAAAGCGCUCGCAGGUGGUUGGUCGCGUCGUGCGUGAAAGGCCCCGGCUCAACUGGGGAGGGUCGUGCGAUACGGGCUGACUGGAGGCCAGUAGGGGGAUGCGGAAUUCCGGGUGUAGUGGUGGAAUGCGUAGAGAUCCGGAGGAACACCAGCGGCGAAGGCGGCAUCCUGGACUGGUCCUGACACUCAGGAGCGAAAGCGUGGGGAGCGAUCCGGAUUAGAUACCCGGGUAGUCCACGCCGUAAACGAUGCGCACUAGGUGUCGGGGGUAUCGACCCCCUCGGUGCCGCAGCCAACGCGAUAAGUGCGCCGCCUGGGGACUACGGCCGCAAGGCUAAA